Molecule: transfer RNA, 72 nt
Filed under: Cronartium ribicola 11-2
Lineage: Eukaryota; Fungi; Basidiomycota; Pucciniomycetes; Pucciniales; Coleosporiaceae
Description: tRNA-Und (NNN) (tRNA-Und-NNN-54-1)
Rfam family: tRNA
About the family: Transfer RNA (tRNA) molecules are approximately 80 nucleotides in length. Their secondary structure includes four short double-helical elements and three loops (D, anti-codon, and T loops).
Source: RNAcentral
GUGUGUGUAGCUCAGUGGAUAGAGCAUCCCUCCAGGUUGAGGCAGUCAUGGGUUCAAAUCCCAUUGCACACA